RNAcentral lists this ribosomal RNA (309 nucleotides) under Triticum aestivum (bread wheat). Its description in RNAcentral is "partial small subunit ribosomal RNA". Lineage: Eukaryota; Viridiplantae; Streptophyta; Magnoliopsida; Poales; Poaceae. The record is from RNAcentral.
AUGUUUGAAGGAGUUGAGCGGGUGCUUCGGGGAGUCGGGCAUGUGCCGGGGCUACGGAGGAAUAUAAUUUCCCUUGGAGUUCUUCAUGAUGAUUGUAUGGUGUUCCGUUGUGGUCGGGAUAAGAAGACCAUGAAAAUCAUGGAAGAUGAGGUAACCAUGAUGAUUGGAGGGAGGACGGCUUUGCAUAUUUACAAGUUGUAAGGGAGCACUACUGCAGGUGGAGUCACGGAGAAUGGAAUUGCGGGAAUAGUAGCAAGGUCCCACACAGGUGGUCGGUCUAGGGCAGAUUCGUCGAGUAGGUCUUGGUAA